RNAcentral lists this small RNA (27 nucleotides) under Bombyx mori (domestic silkworm). Its description in RNAcentral is "ovarian small RNA-19542". The record is from RNAcentral. Lineage: Eukaryota; Metazoa; Arthropoda; Insecta; Lepidoptera; Bombycidae.
UAAUACGAUGGGCUGAUGGUCUUGGUU